This 429-nucleotide ribosomal RNA is filed under the name Actinomycetes bacterium. Its description in RNAcentral is "Actinobacteria bacterium partial 16S ribosomal RNA". It matches the Rfam family "Bacterial small subunit ribosomal RNA", at positions 355 to 776 of the family's 1533-position model. Lineage: Bacteria; Bacillati; Actinomycetota; Actinomycetes. The record is from RNAcentral.
UAGGGAAUCUUCCGCAAUGGGCGAAAGCCUGACGGAGCAACGCCGCGUUAGUGAUGAAGGUCUUCGGAUCGUAAAACUCUGUUAUUAGGGAAGAACAAAUGUGUAAGUAACUAUGCACGUCUUGACGGUACCUAAUCAGAAAGCCACGGCUAACUACGUGCCAGCAGCCGCGGUAAUACGUAGGUGGCAAGCGUUAUCCGGAAUUAUUGGGCGUAAAGCGCGCGUAGGCGGUUUUUUAAGUCUGAUGUGAAAGCCCACGGCUCAACCGUGGAGGGUCAUUGGAAACUGGAAAACUUGAGUGCAGAAGAGGAAAGUGGAAUUCCAUGUGUAGCGGUGAAAUGCGCAGAGAUAUGGGGGAACACCAGUGGCGAAGGCGACUUUCUGGUCUGUAACUGACGCUGAUGUGCGAAAGCGUGGGGAUCAAACAGG